RNAcentral lists this unclassified non-coding RNA (344 nucleotides) under Melicope denhamii. RNAcentral's name for it is "contains 5' external transcribed spacer, ETS". The record is from RNAcentral. Lineage: Eukaryota; Viridiplantae; Streptophyta; Magnoliopsida; Sapindales; Rutaceae.
GGUAUCCUGUGUUGCUUACCAAUGAAAUGGAAUUUGAUGGUCUUGUUAUGUGGAUUCGCCUUGUGCUCUUUGGGGUGCGAGGUGGACAUGCGGUGAGCACUGUGCUCCCAACAUGCCAAGUGCAUUGGUGUUUGGUUGUUGUGGCGUAUGGUGUCUUUGCUUGUUCUCUCGGAUGCAGAAAGCUAAGUGUGGGCAUGAGGUCUUGACCUUGAAUCGUCCAAGCACUGUCUCUUGACUCGAAUGACUGCUGCGCUUGUCUUUGAUCUUUCCGACCAAGGCCUCGUAACGGGGCUUACUGGACGAGGGUGGAUCAUGCAGGUGUUAGCGUCAAAGAGGAAAGCUAC